This is an RNA transcript of Arabidopsis thaliana (thale cress), 333 nucleotides long. RefSeq lists it as uncharacterized. Lineage: Eukaryota; Viridiplantae; Streptophyta; Magnoliopsida; Brassicales; Brassicaceae. The transcript is spliced from 2 exons. The record is from RefSeq.
CCGGUUAACUAUCAAACCUACUUGCAGUAUUGUUUGUUUGAAAAGCUGCAUGCGAUCAUUCAUCUUAAUUGUUCGGUUUCUUACUCCUCUGCAAAUCAUACUUAUUACCAUAACGUGAUCUAGAAGUUUCAACAAGAGGCUGAUGCAUAGAAAGCUGAUGAAGAAGCUGAAACUGCGGGUAAUGCGAAAUGCGAGGAAACGCAGGUGCGAGGUGUGUUGCUCAAGUAGAAACCGAGAACGGUCCAAGAUCAGACCGUACAGAGUUCCAACGGUGGAUUAUUUAGCAAGACAAAUUCUGGGCUUCUUUUUGAUUAUUUAGCAAGACAAAUUCUG